CUUAAAAAGUUAUAACCACGAAUAACAUUAUUUGCACCAUUUCUGUUCUUUAAAACAAAAAUAAAAGAAGAGAGCUCGAUGCAUGAAUUUGGGCAAACAUUGAACCCUAAAAUCUUUUCAUUCUUUGAAGACUGUUGGAGAAGCUUUGUAGUCGACAUGCAUGGACAUUUUUGAGCAAACUAGGUCUUUGAAAUGGACUUUAACUGGACAUUGAGUGGUAUUGAUGAAAUGAGAGCGUAAGCAACUAAAGAUGAACGAGUAGAUGAAGACUCAACCACUGCUUCAAGCUCAGACUCGUCAUUCCAGGCAAUGACGGGUCACCCUACUGCCACAUUCAUUAUUUCAUUUUAUUUUAUAGUUUUUCUUCAAGAUUACAUUAGAAUGUAUGUCUAUAGCUCUGUUAGCUAUUCCCACAGCUUGUGUGGGACACCUUACACAUUUUUUUUGUAAUAAAAAGCAUUUUCUAUGCCAUCUUUUGUUA
This is a long non-coding RNA of Cryptomeria japonica (Japanese cedar), 481 nucleotides long. RefSeq lists it as uncharacterized. The transcript is spliced from 2 exons. The record is from RefSeq and is a predicted model, not a curated record. NCBI's taxonomy places the organism in Eukaryota, Viridiplantae, Streptophyta, Pinopsida, Cupressales, Cupressaceae.